This 80-nucleotide ribosomal RNA is filed under the name Pantoea agglomerans. The record is from RNAcentral. Lineage: Bacteria; Pseudomonadati; Pseudomonadota; Gammaproteobacteria; Enterobacterales; Erwiniaceae. RNAcentral also lists the same sequence under 5 other names.
CCUGGCGGCUUUAGCGCGGUGGUCCCACCUGACCCCAUGCCGAACUCAGAAGUGAAACGCCGUAGCGCCGAUGGUAGUGU